RNAcentral lists this ribosomal RNA (478 nucleotides) under uncultured bacterium. RNAcentral describes it as "partial 16S ribosomal RNA". It matches the Rfam family "Bacterial small subunit ribosomal RNA", at positions 28 to 507 of the family's 1533-position model. The record is from RNAcentral.
GAUGAACGCUGGCGGCGUGCCUAACACAUGCAAGUCGAACGGAGUCAAGCCUUUAAGACCUUCGGGUCGAUGGGGGGAGGCCUGAGUGGCAGACGGGUGUGUAACACGUGGGCAACCUGGCUCAUUGAGGGGGAUAACAGAGAGAAAUUUCUGCUAAUACCGCAUAAGCACACACUGCCGCAUGGCAGAGGGUGAAAAGAGAAUCGCAAUGAGAUGGACCCGCGUCUGAUUAGCCAGUUGGCAGGGUAAGAGCCUACCAAAGCGACGAACAGUAGCCGAUCUGAGAGAAUGAACGGCCACAUCGGGACUAAGACACGGUCCAGACUCCUACGGGAGGCAGCAGUGGGGGAUAUUGCACAAUGGGGGGAACCCUGAUGCAGCGACGCCGCGUGAGUGAAGAAGUAUUUCGGUAUGUAAAGCGCUAUCAGCAGGGAAGAUAUUGACAGUACCUGAAGAAGAAGCCCCGGCUAACUACGUG